UGUGGCAGACAAGUGCUAUGGGUUUAAGCCCCAUCCAUGAAGGAAUUACCUUCCAUUAAAA
RNAcentral lists this transfer RNA (61 nucleotides) under Prodasineura humeralis. Its description in RNAcentral is "tRNA-Leu". Lineage: Eukaryota; Metazoa; Arthropoda; Insecta; Odonata; Platycnemididae. The record is from RNAcentral.